UGUCACUUAAGGCAUAUGAAUAAAGAAUGAAUAGAUUUUCAGUUUAAUCGUUAGAGCAAGCAUUUGAUUCAAUCUUGCUAUUGAGAAAAAGAAACUUUUAAGUGUAGAGCAAGAAGAAAAAGAAAGAUACACAUCUUAAAGAAAAGAUAAAAAAAAUAGAAACAAUUUUCUAUGGAAGCCUGAGGCAGAGGAAAAUAUAUAUAGGG
RNAcentral lists this long non-coding RNA (206 nucleotides) under Elaeis guineensis (African oil palm). Its description in RNAcentral is "long non-coding RNA (EGUI_LNC081518)". The record is from RNAcentral. Lineage: Eukaryota; Viridiplantae; Streptophyta; Magnoliopsida; Arecales; Arecaceae.